Molecule: long non-coding RNA, 364 nt
Filed under: Pan troglodytes (chimpanzee)
Lineage: Eukaryota; Metazoa; Chordata; Mammalia; Primates; Hominidae
Description: lincRNA
Source: RNAcentral
CCAGUCCAACCCAGUCCAUCACCUGGAGGCUGGAGAACCACGAGGCUGUUGCCUGUUCGUCCCCCUCUUCUGAGAGGUCCAGGUCACCUGCUCUGGGAGAAGCCAGUUGCCAUGUUGUAAGGACACUCAAGCAGCCCAUGGAAUGACUCACAUGCUGAAGAACUGAGCCCUCCCUCCUUCCAACAGCCAGGGAGGAACUAGGGCUUCUUGCCAAUAACCAUGUGAAGAAGCUUGGAAAUGGAUUCUCCCCCAAAUGAGUCUUCAGAUUACUGUAGACUAACAUCUUGACUGCAACCUCUAGAAAGACCCUGAGCCAGGAUCACCAAGCUCACAGAAGCUAAGAGUUAAUAAAUGUUUGAAUUAA